GCAUCGAUGAAGAACGCAGCGAACUGCGAAAAUUAAUGCGACCCGCAACACGUGAGUCAUCGAGUCUUUGAACGCAUAUUGCACCCGACGGGCUCGCUCGUCGGGUCUGCCUGUCUGAGUAUCAGUACGGACCCAACCGAUGCGAACGGCUUGCGCCUGCCGCGUCGAGUUGGUGGUCGCCGGUGGAGUGCCUCGCGGCCUCCUCUGGUGGAUCUGAGCGUCCGACCGCAGCGUCCGCGCGGCUGUCGGUGGCUUGAAUUGCAUGAGCGCGAUCACGACCGAUCGCCAGUCUAGUUAGCAUUGUUGAUCAUCCUUGGGAUGUUCUUUGCUAGUCGCUAGACCGGUUGCCCGGCGUGGUACACCGCGCUGAAAGCGUCGCGUACACAUUUGUCUCUACCAUCUUGAUCUCAGAUCAGGCAGGAUGACCCGCUGAACUUAAGCAUAUCAAUAAGCGGAGGA
This 459-nucleotide ribosomal RNA is filed under the name uncultured fungus. RNAcentral's name for it is "eukaryotic LSU rRNA". The stretch from base 1 to 124 matches the Rfam family "5.8S ribosomal RNA", at positions 30 to 154 of the family's 154-position model. The record is from RNAcentral. Lineage: Eukaryota; Fungi.